This 504-nucleotide ribosomal RNA is filed under the name uncultured bacterium. RNAcentral's name for it is "partial 16S ribosomal RNA". It matches the Rfam family "Bacterial small subunit ribosomal RNA", at positions 30 to 523 of the family's 1533-position model. The record is from RNAcentral.
AUUGAACGCUGGCGGCAGGCCUAACACAUGCAAGUCGAACGGUAGCAGAACUAGCUUGCUAGUUGCUGACGAGUGGCGAACGGGUGAGUAACGCGUGGGAAUCUACCUGGUAGUGGGGGAUAACAGUCGGAAACGACUGCUAAUACCGCAUACGUCCUAAGGGAGAAAGCGGGGGAUCUUCGGACCUCGUGCUAUCAGAUGAGCCUGCGUCGGAUUAGCUAGUUGGUGGGGUAAGGGCCUACCAAGGCGACGAUCCGUAGCUGGUCUGAGAGGAUGAUCAGCCACACUGGAACUGAGACACGGUCCAGACUCCUACGGGAGGCAGCAGUGGGGAAUAUUGGACAAUGGGCGCAAGCCUGAUCCAGCCAUGCCGCGUGUGUGAAGAAGGCCCUAGGGUUGUAAAGCACUUUCAGCAGGGAGGAAAGGAUGUACGUUAAUACCGUGCAUCUGUGACGUUACCUGCAGAAGAAGCACCGGCUAACUCCGUGCCAGCCGCCGCAGUAA